RNAcentral lists this ribosomal RNA (242 nucleotides) under Paguristes grayi. Its description in RNAcentral is "partial 12S ribosomal RNA". Lineage: Eukaryota; Metazoa; Arthropoda; Malacostraca; Decapoda; Diogenidae. The record is from RNAcentral.
UAAACGAUAAACCACGAAAAAUCUUAUUUGGCUUAAAUAGUUUGUAUACCGUCAUUAUUAGAUAAUUUUGGAAGAGAUAAUUAUUGUAAUUAAAAUUAAUAACUUUAAGUAUAUUAGAUCAAGGUGCAGCUUAUAGGCAAGGAAAGGAUGGGUUACAAUAAAUUAAUUGUAUAUUCAAAUUUAAUAUGAUGAGUAGAAAUUGGCUCUAAGAUAUGUACAUAUCGCCCGUCGUCGCGGGAAAA